GCUGAUGCUGGCGGUGAUCCCGAUGGUGUGAGCUGGAAAUGGGUGCUACGUCAUCGUUGUCAUCGUCAUCAUCAUCAUC
Molecule: non-coding RNA, 79 nt
Organism: Papio anubis (olive baboon)
Lineage: Eukaryota; Metazoa; Chordata; Mammalia; Primates; Cercopithecidae
Source: Rfam